Molecule: long non-coding RNA, 1334 nt
Organism: Lolium rigidum
Lineage: Eukaryota; Viridiplantae; Streptophyta; Magnoliopsida; Poales; Poaceae
Exons: 10
Source: RefSeq, a predicted model, not a curated record
ACGCCUCGUCCUCUCCUCUCCUCUUCCUCCAUGGUCGAGCUCAAGCUCGCCUUCCCGUCGCCGUACACCACUGCGGGAGGCGUCCGCCUCCGUCUCCUGGUCAGUCCCGGCCUCCAUUGUUCCCCGCGCUGGACAGAGUUGGGCGCAGCGGCGUCGGGCGAAGGAGUGCAAGCCGCGGGGCGACUCCGCCGCCAUGGAGGCGCCGGAGGAGGUGGUCGAGCGGGGGGCUCGGGAUGUGGCGACGGAGGAGGACGGGAUGUGAGCCAAGGAGGAUGUACGUUGCCUGCUCAGGGGACGCUCAGCGGCUGGUGGCGCUGCUCACUCCUCCUCACAUCCUUGUCUGACCCGGUGCCUUUCCUGCAUCUCCUUGCUUACUCGCCAGACAUCCCAUGGUAACUCCUGGUAUUUGUUGGUUGCAAUUCCUCUGACAGUUACAACACAUGGCAAUGAUACCUCUGCACAUUGUCGAAUAAAAAAUAUAGAGAUGAUAUUCAUUGACGCCAGGCUUCAAAAUUCAGCUCUUUUAUUUCUGCCAUGGUGUACCUUUCUGCUUGGUUCAGUUUUGCCUGAUCUACUUCCAGAUGUAUACUACACUUAGUUUGUUCAUGCAUUAGAAGCAGGCUUUCAGCAAUGGAAUAGCGGGUGGAUGAGAAGCUCCACAACCUGCACAUUGUGAUGGAGAAUCACUGCUGAAGGUGAUAUUGCAUGCUAAAGGUGAUAUUGCAGGCACCAUCAUGGCCACAUCGAAGGUCCUAAGCUCUAGGUGAUGGAGAAUCACUGCUGAAGGUGAUAUUGCAUGCUAAAGGUGAUAUUGCAGGCACCAUCAUGGCCACAUCGAAGGUCCUAAGCUCUAGGUGAGAAGAACGCAAAUAACUCUACACUGCAGGAUAAGAUGGAACAACAAGCUGGGUUUUUUUUUUCCGUCGCUGAACAGCCACCAUGUUGCAGGAGAUUAUCAACUCACUUUUUGUUUACAGGAAAAUUUAUUGACACUCAAGAGUCAAGACAAAUGCAACAAAUUUUUGAAGUUGUGUUCUACCACUUCCCACAAUAAAUAAAAGAAAUUAUAGAAAGAAGUUUGCAGCUGUAGGGGCGAUGUCUUUCAGGUUGUGUGGAAUCCAAAUUUGGAGACUGUUGGCCUUCCAUGCUGCGGACAAAAGGGUGAUGAGAUGGGACGUUAGUAGGAGGUACUGCAGAUAUCUAUCCAUGUAGCUCGAUGAAUUGUGGUACUUAGUUAACAGCGACACCCAUCAGUUAGGUUAUAAAAUCCUUAGUUAUUGGAGCCAUUCAUAUGCGUUUAUCAGCGCAGGAAGGAAGAAGGUUUUCUUGUGUUA